Molecule: long non-coding RNA, 1096 nt
Filed under: Triticum aestivum (bread wheat)
Lineage: Eukaryota; Viridiplantae; Streptophyta; Magnoliopsida; Poales; Poaceae
Description: long non-coding RNA (TAES_LNC006965)
Source: RNAcentral
CUCUAGGCAAUAUCAGUGGUAGCAUUUUAAUUCUGCACAGUGAGCUAUGUAGUAGAUUUGCUGUCACUUGUGAUGUAACUCUUUUGAUGUGAAUCCUAAGUGAUGCAAUUUGUGCUUUGGGUGCAGGGGAGGCUGCUGAUGGGGGCUAACCUGGCUAUCGAGGGACAUGCUAGCGAGAUAUGCACAAGGGCAAUGUUUGGGCGUAUAUUUUAUGAGUGUGGCGCAUACCAGGUUUUAUAUGCGAAGAAGAACAGAUCAUAUCUUGCAAUGAUGGAGGGUGGGGAUGACUUUGACUGUGAGUGUGGGCAGUUCGCCCACAUGGGUAUACUACACACCCAUGUUUUUGAGGUAUUGUUUUCCUUAAAUUAGUAUAGUUUACAGUACUAGCAAUGCAAAUGUGGAGGGUUGGUACCAAAAAAUGAACAAUGUUGUUUUUAGAAAAUGUGGGUACUGGACUUUAUCCAUGUGAAGCAGAUCCCCGAGACACACAUACUAGCAUAGCACUAGUGAAAAUCUAAAUAGUACCUACAACCUCGGAAGCUUGCUAGGUGCGAGAAUUGUGGGGUUAAGGGCCACAGGAGAAACAACUGCACAGAACCAAUGGAUCUGAGAUUAGGGGGUGUCUGAUGCUGGUGUGAAGUGCAUGGCUGCAGCAGCAGCAUCAGUUCUGACUGAUGAAAACCAAGGAGAGCAAGGGUGUAAUCUAAAGAUAUGUUGAUGUGUUCUGGGCAUUUUCUAUUUAUGUUGUACUCAUGUACUGUGUGGUACCGUCCGGCAGUGAGGCUGGCUAUGGAUGUAUCUAUGCAGUGCAUUUCCAGGAUCAGGUGUUUCGAUGUAGAAUUAUUGUUAUUUUCACGUGAUCCAUGGCCCCACCUGGUGUGUGUGAUGCCGGUGACUAGAGUGGCAUGUUGCCUGUGACUCAAUUGCAGUGCUUCUCUGUGUUAUCUGAUACUGAAUUCUGAUGCUUGUUCAGGCAGACUUGUGGCGCUUGUUUGUGUCGCGUGAAACUGAAUUGUGUCACCUGAAGUUGUAUAGAGAAUAUCUAAAAUAAGUGGAAUCAGGGGUGAUGUGAUCAUUCGGCGUUGGGUAGCAUCAA